RNAcentral lists this non-coding RNA (20 nucleotides) under Rattus norvegicus (Norway rat). The record is from RNAcentral. Lineage: Eukaryota; Metazoa; Chordata; Mammalia; Rodentia; Muridae.
UUAUUUCUUUAGAAAGCAUC